AUUGAACGCUGGCGGCAGGCCUAACACAUGCAAGUCGAGCGAGCGGCGGACGGGUGAGUAAUGUAUGGGGACUGCCCGAUAGAGGGGGAUAACUACUGGAAACGGUGGCUAAUACCGCAUACUAUCGGAUCACCCAUAUGGGCUUAGCUAGUAGGUGGGGUAAAGGCUAACCUAGGCGACGAUCUCGAGCUGGUCGUAGAGGAUGAGCAGCCACACUGGAACUGAGACAUGGCCCAGACUCCUACGGAGGCAGAAGUGGGGAAUAUUGCACAAUGGGGGAAAGCCUGAUGCAGCCAUGCCGGUGGUAGGAAGAAGGCCGUAGGGCUUUAAAGUACGUUCAGCGGGGAGGCGUUACCCGCAGAAGAAGCACCGGCUAACUACGUGCCAGCAGCCGCGGUAAUAC
RNAcentral lists this ribosomal RNA (403 nucleotides) under uncultured bacterium. Its description in RNAcentral is "partial 16S ribosomal RNA". It matches the Rfam family "Bacterial small subunit ribosomal RNA", at positions 29 to 526 of the family's 1533-position model. The record is from RNAcentral.